Molecule: long non-coding RNA, 1955 nt
Organism: Gavialis gangeticus (Gharial)
Lineage: Eukaryota; Metazoa; Chordata; Crocodylia; Gavialidae
Exons: 4
Source: RefSeq, a predicted model, not a curated record
CUGAGAAACUUCAAAGAAACAACCAACCAUAUAUGCACCUGCCUACCAGGAGAAGGUUAGCUCCUUAUUUCCUUAACUGUGGAAUUUCUCCACUGAAGUCCUCCUGCCUGUUUUAUGGGGUGAGCAGGAAGCAUUUGUUCUGGGCCUGCAGCAGGUUUCCUGUCUAUAAAACAUUGAUUUUUUUUUUCACCUUGCCAAUAUCUCCUUAACCGAUGAUAAACUACACUCUCAUCAGAAAUAAUCAACACUUUUUCAGUUAUGCUUGGGUCUUAAUGAAGAGGAGUUGGCUGGAAUACCUUGUUUGCAAUCAGUAAAUUGUGGUAGUUCAAUAGUACAUCUUUGUCAGAUACCAUCUUGCCUUCAGUAAACAGGUAAGUUCAUUAACUUUACAAUGUGGCAGUAACAGAAAGAUUCCCUUUGGACAAUUAAGGAGGAGUUUUGAAGAAAAUUGCUCCCUCCUGGGAAGAGAUGAAAGACUGACCCUAAGGAGAAGAGAUUUUUUUUCCUUAAGUCCAAGGGAUUGUUUUUGCUGGAAGGCUGUCCUGGCUCUUGUAUCAGUAAGUGAAUUUCAAAUGCCUGCUUUAUAAUCAUGUUCUUAAGUAAUGGUUUUCUAGUUUAGCUCUUUCUGAUUUCUUGGAGGUGGAUUAAUACCUAAUUAAAUAUGUGGAACAGCUGUAAAGAGAAACAUGAUUCUGUCAAAGCAAAAUAAUUGCUAUGCCUGGUUUUCAAGUUGGCAGAGUCACUGCAAACAAUGAGUUUGCUUCAUAUUCAAUAAAUACAUUCCUUGCUGCCAUAUCCAUUUGAAAUCUAAUCCUGGGCAUUUACUGAAAACAAAAACAGCAAUAUUGGUUUUAUAGCUAGGAGUCAAAGAUGAUGGGGCUGAUUCUUCUUUACACAAAAGUCCUUUGCUCUGUCCUGAAAUAAGUUGAAAAUUGGAUGGUUAAGGCCCCCUGUUACAUUUCCAGAGAAAUGUAAAGGUCCUUAUUGUAAGAAAAACUCAGGUAAUUUAUUUUCUCUCUCUUUUGUAAACACAUCUUUUCUUGAAGAGUAAGAGAUUGCUGGAGUCAGGAGGGCCAUUCUUAUAGCACUGCCUGUUGGACUGGGAUAAGUGGAAGAUAUCAAAAAAAAUUUCUCCUUGACACCAAGGAAUUCAGCAUCGGCCUGAAAUUUAGCAGGAGCUUGAACAGCUGCAUCUGUGCUUUUGGUCUGUGGCUACAUAGAAGACUUCAAUUAGCUUGGCAUCUCUCGGGAAAUUAAAAGGAAAGGCUGUAGUUUUGAAGUGUGGCACAGAGAGGAGGAGGUGAUGUUGUAUAUUAAUGACAGGCUUUUGACUGCACUAACUGCCAAAAAUCUGGCCCAGAUUGUGAUGAGUUUUAGCCUUGUUGAGCAGAAUCAAAGGCAGAUGCAUCCUUCCCUCAUGCCUGCACUGCUCACAGCUGUAGUCCCAACGCCAAGGAUAGCUCUGUACAUCAGGAGGGCAGGGGAAGAGUUGGAGUGAACUAGGCACAGAGGCUUUACAGUCCCAGUCAUUUUCUAUAUGUUUUCCAUAUGGACUAGAAAAAACAGGAUACAUUGUGUCUUAAAGGAGGAAGCUGCUUUUGAAGAAGAUGAAUGGAACAUGUCUGAACAUGCAGGAUUUCCAGGCUACUCAAAAUGUUUGUUACACUAGUGCCUGUGUUCCCUGAGGAUCCACAAUAGAGCAUGUGAUAUAAAUUUAAAUGGCUCACCACUGUUUCACUCCACACCGGCUGUGUCUGGGAUCCACGGUCCUGUCCCAGGUAAGAGUUCAGGCUCUGCCGAGCCAGCAUUGUCUGGGCAUGCCCCCUCUUGGGGCUGCCACCACUCACCCCUGUUGGGGCUGGUGAUCACUCCCGGCCACUUUGGGCCUUCCAGAGGACCCACUUCCGGUCCUCCCCGACAGUUGUCCAGCAGGGUUUUUAUUCCCCCCUCUGAGG